This is a long non-coding RNA of Equus caballus (horse), 1805 nucleotides long. NCBI's taxonomy places the organism in Eukaryota, Metazoa, Chordata, Mammalia, Perissodactyla, Equidae. The record is from Ensembl.
AUUUGUAUAUUUUUGUGUUUGUUGCCUGUGAUGUUGGUGUUAUAUCCAGGAAAACAUCAAGACCAAUGUCAAGGAAAAUUUUCCCUAUUUUAUAAUAGAUUUAUGGUUUCAGGUCUUAUGUGAAGGAGACCUGGCAUGAAAUGUGGUUGUGCUUGCACGCGAGGCAUCCACAAGACUGGCUGGACUUUUCUGCAAACAGAAUGUUCUGCCUGGUGAACUCACAAGGCCCCAGGGAAAACAUUGCUUGCAAACAAGGAUGUUUUAUCAGUUCCUCAAAAGGAACAAGCCUGGGGCCUUGGGAGUUUGAAACAUUAUGAAGGAACCUGUUAUAAACAGAUGUGUAAGGGAAAGGUCAUUAUUGUGGGAUGCUUGCGCAGGCUUAGGUAGCUGACUCACUGCUUUGGCAAAAGGCGGGCUUUGUUUAGAGGCUAUAAGAAUAAAGAGCUCGAGGAACUCGAGGAGACUACACAGCAACCAGUGUUCGUGUUUUCAUUUUGUUGGCGGCAUCUGGCAUCCAACGUGGGGCCCAACGAAACUGAAAGGUCUUCCGGCGCUGGAGAAAACAACAACAACUAAAAAGGAUCGUUAAGACCGUUGCGCAUGCUGUCCGUCACAAUGCUAACAAAAGAGGGGGAGAUGAAGGAGACCUGGCAUGAAAUGUGGUUGUGCUUGCACGCGAGGCAUCCACAAGACUGGCUGGACUUUUCUGCAAACAGAAUGUUCUGCCUGGUGAACUCACAAGGCCCCAGGGAAAACAUUGCUUGCAAACAAGGAUGUUUUAUCAGUUCCUCAAAAGGAACAAGCCUGGGGCCUUGGGAGUUUGAAACAUUAUGAAGGAACCUGUUAUAAACAGAUGUGUAAGGGAAAGGUCAUUAUUGUGGGAUGCUUGCGCAGGCUUAGGUAGCUGACUCACUGCUUUGGCAAAAGGCGGGCUUUGUUUAGAGGCUAUAAGAAUAAAGAGCUCGAGGAACUCGAGGAGACUACACAGCAACCAGUGUUCGUGUUUUCAUUUUGUUGGCGGCAUCUGGCAUCCAACGUGGGGCCCAACGAAACUGAAAGGGUAAGCACCCUGGAAAAGUGAAAGGGGGACUUUCGGGAAUAGGUAAAUCUCGAUGCAGGGCUCGACAAGACCGAAAGGGUAAGCACCCCGGAAAAGUGAAAGGGGGACUUUCGGGAAUAAAUAAAUCAUGGGGAAUUCUAAUUUUCUAAGGUCACAGUAUUUAGACCUCAUAAAGGGACUCCUUAAGUCCAUCGGGGAAAAAUGUCCUCUCGGCGCUCGAAUGAAUUAUUUCUGCAUAUUGAUUGCCAUUGUUAUUGGUUUCCUCAUCAGACAAAGGCUCAGUUAAAUUUGAGGGAGUGGAAGCAAGUUCAAAAGGAGUUGCGGAAGCAACACCAGUGGGGAAACGUUAUGUCUCUUAAACUCUGGACUCUCUGUAGCGCCAUUACUCAGGCGCUUGAAAUUUUUGAAACAGAUAGUGAGGUUAACUCCCGUCGUAGUGAGGCUCAUUAUGAGGACGUUCCGGUGGAAGAAAAAGAUACAAAGGAGGGAUCUUGCCCUCCCCCUCCACCGGAGCCUCCUGAUGAGACUUCUGAGUCUAGCUCAGAUUCUGAGGAGGAUAGUGAUGAGGAAGAAGAAAAAGAUAAAUUGAUUUUCAAAAUGGCUACUGCCUUGAAACCUCAGCGACAGGGCACUUGCUUUAAUUGUGGGCAGUUUCUGGACAUUUGACUGUAUGAACUGAUAAUUUUACCUUAAAUGUGUCUCAAAGUUCUGGACUUUUUCAGGUUCAUCUGCAUAAGAAUAAAAC